UACGUAGGGUGCGAGCGUUAAUCGGAAUUACUGGGCGUAAAGCGUGCGCAGGCGGACCGGCCAGUCGAGUGUGAAAGCCCAGGGCUCAACCCUGGAACUGCGCUCGAAACUUCCGGUCUUGAGUUCGAGAGAGGGAAGCGGAAUUCCUGGUGUAGAGGUGAAAUUCGUAGAUAUCAGGAGGAACACCAGUGGCGAAAGCGGCUUCCUGGCUCGAAACUGACGCUCAUGGACGAAAGCGUGGGUAGCAAACAGG
This 253-nucleotide ribosomal RNA is filed under the name uncultured bacterium. RNAcentral describes it as "partial 16S ribosomal RNA". It matches the Rfam family "Bacterial small subunit ribosomal RNA", at positions 524 to 776 of the family's 1533-position model. The record is from RNAcentral.